UACGGGGGGAGCAAGCGUUGUUCGGAUUUACUGGGCGUAAAGGGCGCGUAGGCGGUCAGCACAAGUCAGUUGUGAAAUCUCCGGGCUUAACUCGGAAAGGUCAACUGAUACUGUGCGACUAGAGUGCAGAAGGGGCAACUGGAAUUCCUGGUGUAGCGGUGAAAUGCGCAGAUAUCAGGAGGAACACCGAUGGCGAAGGCAGGUCUCUGGGCCACUACUGACGCUGAGAAGCGAAAGCAUGGGGAGCGAACAGG
Molecule: ribosomal RNA, 254 nt
Filed under: uncultured bacterium
Lineage: Bacteria
Description: partial 16S ribosomal RNA
Rfam family: Bacterial small subunit ribosomal RNA
Source: RNAcentral